GCUUCGUUAGCUCAGUUGGCAGAGCACCUGCCUUUUAAGCAGGGUGUCCGGGGUUCGAAUCCCCGACGAGGCA
This 73-nucleotide transfer RNA is filed under the name Ruminococcaceae bacterium AF10-16. It matches the Rfam family "tRNA". From Rfam's summary of the family: Transfer RNA (tRNA) molecules are approximately 80 nucleotides in length. Lineage: Bacteria; Bacillati; Bacillota; Clostridia; Eubacteriales; Oscillospiraceae. The record is from Rfam by way of RNAcentral.